Long non-coding RNA from Sinocyclocheilus anshuiensis, 222 nucleotides. RefSeq lists it as uncharacterized. The transcript has 2 exons. The record is from RefSeq and is a predicted model, not a curated record. Lineage: Eukaryota; Metazoa; Chordata; Actinopteri; Cypriniformes; Cyprinidae.
CAGCUGCCCAUCACCCAAGGCUGACGGAAUCAUCACAGAAUCAGAAGAACGGUUGAGAGAAGAAAAGUAACAGUUGGAUAGAUGAGCCCCGCGCCUUUUUUUUUUGGCGGACACACCAUCCUCCACAUCUGUCUUAACAGUCAUUCACGGCAGAAGCUUAAUCUACAGGUAAUGCAAGCACACCCAUUUUGAAGUAAUGUAAACUUAAGAAAUAAUUUUUUU